GGGCGGUUAACUCAGUGGUUAGAGUGCCAUCCUCACACGGUGGAAGUCGCUGGUUCAAAUCCAGCACCGCCCACCA
This 76-nucleotide transfer RNA is filed under the name Syntrophobacter sp. DG_60. RNAcentral describes it as "tRNA-Val". It matches the Rfam family "tRNA". Rfam says of the family: Transfer RNA (tRNA) molecules are approximately 80 nucleotides in length. Their secondary structure includes four short double-helical elements and three loops (D, anti-codon, and T loops). RNAcentral also lists the same sequence under 2 other names. The record is from RNAcentral. Lineage: Bacteria; Pseudomonadati; Thermodesulfobacteriota; Syntrophobacteria; Syntrophobacterales; Syntrophobacteraceae.